RNAcentral lists this ribosomal RNA (444 nucleotides) under archaeon enrichment culture DGGE gel band B8. Its description in RNAcentral is "bacterial SSU rRNA". It matches the Rfam family "Archaeal small subunit ribosomal RNA", at positions 894 to 1338 of the family's 1478-position model. The record is from RNAcentral.
CUUGCGGUUUAUUGGAUUCAACGCCGGAAAUCUUACCGGGACCGACAGCAAUAUGAAGGCCAGGCUGAAGACUUUGCCGGAUUAGCUGAGAGGUGGUGCAUGGCCGUCGUCAGUUCGUACUGUGAAGCAUCCUGUUAAGUCAGGCAACGAGCGAGACCCACGCCCACAGUUGCCAGCGUACUCUCUGGAGUGACGGGUACACUGUGGGGACCGCCGCUGCUAAAGCGGAGGAAGGAAUGGGCAACGGUAGGUCAGUAUGCCCCGAAUAUCCCGGGCUACACGCGAGCUACAAUGGUUGGUACAAUGGGUAUCUACCCCGAAAGGGGACGGGAAUCUCCUAAAACCAAUCUUAGUUCGGAUUGAGGGCUGCAACUCGCCCUCAUGAAGCUGGAAUCCGUAGUAAUCGCGUUUCAACAGAACGCGGUGAAUACGUCCCUGCUCCUU